GGUAAGCACGUGAUAUAGGUUGCCUGUUUGGUUUGCCGGGCCAAAAAAAAAAACACAGACAAUUCUCUGACCAAACUCUAAGAAGUUUUGAUCUGGAAUUAAAUUGGAGGGAAAAUGCCUGUAGAGAUUAGCAUUCAGGCUGCAGGGCUGAACCAUCUUACCCAAACCUAGAGGGGAGUUUUAAGCUCCACCCCUAAAAUAAGAGCGAAUGGAACAGUCCACCCAAGAGCAACAAACCAGGAAAUGAGCAGGGGAGAGAAAAACUAAGUAAGACAUCACACACUCUUUAAGGUGGUACUCUCAUUCUGUGAAUUUGUGCUCUCCCACUGAAGAUUGCUUCUAUUACACUCAAAGCUCAGGAAUAAAAUGAUGGAGAGAUUGCCAGUGGAAGCAGAGGAAGCACCAACCAGCAAUAAGGAAAGACGUAACAUAAGCCAAAAUUCAUGGUGUAGCAGCAAAUCUGUAUAGAGAAGAGAUGCAUAUCAGUGGGCUGAAAUGUGACAACAAAAUGAAAGGUAGAUAUGUCUAUUUUCCAGAGGCAUAUUUCAUAUAAAGGUGUAUAAUGUGUCAUUUAUAACAGCUUUUUGUUCUCAGCUUCCCAGGUGCUUUAUAACUUAGCCAACAUAAAGCCACUGAAGCACACUUAUUGAUGGAAAGAAAUGUGGCAGCUACUUUGCUUCCACAUGUUGAUUCCUAUGACCUUUCAGGUGGUUAUCUGUCUGAAAUGUAGAUACUGGAGAGACCUCCCUAUCAGGAGACAGGCAGGGCUCAUCUGUGAUGUCUAAUUUCAUAUUUACUCCAUGCAGCAAUUACACAAAAGUGUCAAAGAGGAAAAAUCAUUGUCUCUUGUAACCUGAGUCUCUCUUUCUGACAGGAAGCUGCUAUGUUUAGCUAUUCUGGGUGGUAUCUUUUCAACAGAAGAUGUAUGGCACUCCUUUGAUAGAACAGGAAGUGUUUUGGAAAGACUGUAUAUUUUUGGUUUGCUGUAAGCUGAUCCAUAUGGUAUAGUAUAUUAUAAUAAUAUAUAAUACUAAUAUUGUUCUAUACUAAUGAUAUAAUAUUAUAAUGUAAUAAAAUAUAAUAAUAAUAUUGCAAUAUAAUAAUACUAAUAUAUGAAAUAUAAUACCAUUGACAAUAUAUAAUAACAUAAUUUUUUAUGUCUCAGGAGCAACUUGAGAAACUGCAAGUCACUUCUGGUGUGAGAGAAUUGACCAUCUGCAAAGACGUUGCCCAGGGAACGCCCGGAUGUUUGAUGUUUUACCAUCCUUGUGUGAGGCUUGGGGAGCUGGAGCUGACGGAGGGAGCUCACCCACUCUCCCCAGAUUCGAACUGCCAACCUGUUGGUCAGAAGUUCUGCCAGCACAGUAUUAUAAUGAUAACAUUGUUUUAUUAUUGUAUAUUUGUUUAUUUUAAAUUAUUAUGUUUUUAAUUGUGAACCUCUUUGAGACUCAGUAAAUAAAUAAAUAAAAACAA
This is a long non-coding RNA of Anolis carolinensis (green anole), 1473 nucleotides long. RefSeq lists it as uncharacterized. Lineage: Eukaryota; Metazoa; Chordata; Lepidosauria; Squamata; Anolidae. The record is from RefSeq and is a predicted model, not a curated record. The transcript is spliced from 3 exons.